UGAUCGAGGUGCUGAAACAGGAAUACAGGCUUUCCAGCAUGUCAAAAAAAAAGCUUGCUUCAGGAAUAGCCUUGCAAGUAUGACAGAGCACCAAGUUCAGCUCAUGUGCAUAGCAGUGCACGUAGAUGGCCUCAGGGUGUUUUUCACGGAAACGAGUUUGCACGCCUCGCACUGACCCGCUCAUCACCGCUGCGCCAUCAUAUGACUGGGCAACAACUUUGAGACCGUCGAUGCCAUGUGAUCCCAGGACCUCCUCAAGGGCAUUUGUUAUGCUCUCCGCGUCAUACCCUCCCAGUCUUCUCAAACAAAGGAAUCGCUCCCUUAUGCGUUCCUGAAAGACGUAACGGACACAAACAGCAAGCUGCUCAGUGUUUCCAUCCUUGGCCUCAUCAGCCAUGAUGGAAAACAUUUUAGCUUCCCUCACCUCAUCCCUUAUCCUUGAUGUGAGCAGUGACGAGGAACACUUAAUGAAGUCAUUUUGGGAGGAAGGUGAAAGAUAGGUGGCAUUAGCAGGAGCAUUAUACUGUUGCAGGAAGGGAUCAAAUUUGGACAACAGCUGAACGCAUUCAAGGAAGUUUCCUUGGUUGGAGCUGCCCUCACCCUCGCAGUGCCCCCUGAAUGCAAUGCCUUGCUUGGCCAAGAAGAGCAUCACAGAAACAACGCGAUGGAGAUACAGUCUUCUUUCUGUGAUCUCCGCUGCACUAGCAGCAAGUAUUUGCUCGGUAACAUCCCCAUGGACCUUGGUUGCCUUGUAACCUAUCCAGGCCAUCAUGGAAGCCUUGUGAAGAGCCGUCUUCUCAUGUUCCCUAAAAGAAUCAAGAGCCCUCUUCCAAUUACAAUAGCCAGUGGUGGCCAGGCCAUCUUUAUUUGCCCUCUUCUCCGGUUUGCUGAACACCCGACAGCAAAAACAGAGGGCAGCAUUUUUGGCUGCAGAAUAUUCAAGCCAGUUGAAUGAUUCGUACCAGAUCUUUUGGAACGACCUCUUCUGGAGUCCAAAAUAGGUCGAUGGGAAGUUGAUGUCUUUCACCUGCUUCGGACCUGUGUCUGGACUUCCUAAUGUGCCCUCUCCUGUCCUUCCCUCAUCACUCCUCUCUGGCUCAUCUGUGAUGCAACACAAUUAAGCAGCAAAAAGCUGACACUCGGACAGUCUAUGCUGUGAUAGUAGCACUUCUAAAGGUAGAGGAGCCAUGUCAGGUAACCUUUUGACCCAGAAAAUAUACACAACUAGCUGUGCAAAAUAGAAAUUUUGGUGAGGAUGUCGGAGGUGACCAUGUGAGAACAAAAAAAUUGACGACAGGUCCAACAAACAGGAUUUUUGGACCAAGACAGUCAAUGGUGCCUCGUCUUUGAACCAUGACGGUCAACAUGACCCUGAUGGCCGCUUGAGGACAACACUCCCCGUAAGUGAAAAUGUACAAAGGUGAAAAUGUACAUGUAAUGUGCUCUAGAUAGAUGGACGCUUUACGGGCUAAUUCAAUUUGGCCUUCCAAUCAUCGUGUUUCUGCCUAAUCCAUCCAUACAGUUAAGUGCAAGAUGCACACACCCAGGUGCUUGCCUGGUAAAGAAAAACGAAUCAGAGGGAAACAAAAGAAAGACCUGCACACAUUCUAAAAACCUCCCACAAAUCUUAAUUUCACAACAUUUCCAUCAGGAUCUCAUUCGCUCUGUGAUUUUAAGGAAGAUCCUAAGUGAUUGAAAUGUUAGGAUUUGUGGGAGCUGCAAGAAUGUGUGCAGGUCUUUCUUUUUCUUCUUUCUGAUUCUUAAAACUCUGCCUCUUGAUCUCAAGCAGGCGUGUGUUGAAUGAUACAAUGAAUGUGAUUGUGAAUGUUACAAUACGUUGUGUUGCUUUAGAUCACUGAAGCUUAAUUUAAAUAAUGAAAAAAUAAUCUUCCCAGACUGUUUCUGUUACUUGCUUAUGCUGUAGGCAAGUUGUGUAAGAAGCUUAUCUCUAUAUAAAUCUGAGCUGUACAUGAAUCUGUUAAUGAAGUCUCAUUUCGACUCCUUCCUCCACUUCACUAUUCAUGUUCUGUUGCUUGCAGUUAACUACAGCCGCCCUUCCUGGGUAACGCCACCACCAAUCCCUGGUCAUCCAUUGAAGCCAUCUCUCUCACUCUGCGCACACAGUCACACUGUUGCCGCUUCAUUCUCAUUGUCUCAUAAUCUCAUUAUUAUGGCUGCUGUGGAUGCUUUAAAAAAUAAACAUUUUUCUCUCAGGUAAAAUCAAACCAGUGGGAUGUUAGAUUGAAAACCUCCAAAGCAAUGUAUUAAAAAUUGAAAGAACAGUCCUAUGUGUAGUUUCUUUUUUGGGGAUUUUCAAAAUGAGGUACCAAGCUAGAAUGGAUUGUCAACCCACUGUUUCUCAACCCUCUCCGAUUAUUACUAUGAGUAGUAGUAUUGCAUGCAUACAGUACUAACAUCAGUGCCACAGUAAGCCUAUAGAGGCUGCAACCAUUUGCUUCUCAAAAGAUUGUAGUGUUUUAGA
Gadus macrocephalus (Pacific cod) is the source of this 2482-nucleotide long non-coding RNA. RefSeq lists it as uncharacterized. Lineage: Eukaryota; Metazoa; Chordata; Actinopteri; Gadiformes; Gadidae. The record is from RefSeq and is a predicted model, not a curated record. The transcript is spliced from 3 exons.